This is a long non-coding RNA of Zingiber officinale, 240 nucleotides long. RefSeq lists it as uncharacterized. The transcript has 3 exons. The record is from RefSeq and is a predicted model, not a curated record. Lineage: Eukaryota; Viridiplantae; Streptophyta; Magnoliopsida; Zingiberales; Zingiberaceae.
AUCCUUUCCGGCACCUCUAUCCUUCCGAGCAGUGCAGAGCUUGGAUAUUCUUCUCUGUUAUUGAUCAAUCCUUCCUUGUGGUGGAUCAACAAACACAACUAUGAGUUAGUGAACGGUCUGAAGUUGCUGGAUUUCGGUCUUUCCGUUGUGAAUCGAGUCUGUUGCCAUCACAGACGACUGAAGGAGAGUUAGAGGACUUUGAUUCGAGACGAGCAUCUCGACACCCGAGUUGGACCAUUU